RNAcentral lists this small RNA (251 nucleotides) under Alteribacillus bidgolensis. Its description in RNAcentral is "Bacillus sp. P4B(2010) BsrG". It matches the Rfam family "BsrG". From Rfam's summary of the family: bsrE, bsrG and bsrH pair through intermolecular interactions with antisense sRNAs. SR4 interaction with the 3'UTR of bsrG RNA promotes bsrG degradation and inhibits its translation. The record is from Rfam by way of RNAcentral. Lineage: Bacteria; Bacillati; Bacillota; Bacilli; Caryophanales; Bacillaceae.
GUAAUAGUUUUGGUAAACUCAAGGGUGGUUCGGUGUCAUCCCCAAAAAGGGAGGGGGUGGUGCCUAUAUGAUGACGGUGUAUGAAGCUUUGAUGCUGAUGGUCACGUUCGGUAUGUUGAUCGUGGCGAUGCUGUCACAAAAAUAAAUCACCCUUGAGUUGACGGCUCGAGCGGGUGAUUUAUUUUCUCCUGGCCGAUCCCCCUUGCAGGGAACCAAGCUAUUGCAGGACCGUAGGUGUUAGCGCACCUGCG